GGGGUCGACUGGUUUUGACAGCGAGAUUAAUGAAACGGUAAGCACGUCGAGUAAUGAAAUUAUACUCGUAAAUACUUAUUUCAACUUUUUAAACGGCGAGAAUAACUACGCUUUAGCUGCCUAAUCUGAAUUAUAGUAAGAUUAAGCCUCGUCCUACUAGGUAGGAAAGCUGAAUGUCUCUUGAAAGCCUUGGUUAAUGGCGUUCUUUUUGAGGCAUCGUAAAAAUUGACUAUGAUGGUGUAGCGCUUUGAUGCACUUUCGAGAUAAAAAAGAUAAGUUGUAAGUGGGUUGUCUUUAACCAGCUUGCAAUCGAAAACCCAAGAAAAGAAUAAACGUGUAGAAAGCCCUUUGGUUACUUGUUUGGACGAGAGUUCGAUUCUCUCCGACUCCACUU
RNAcentral lists this transfer-messenger RNA (394 nucleotides) under Flavobacteriaceae. RNAcentral describes it as "Oceanihabitans sp018860825 Standard tmRNA". It matches the Rfam family "transfer-messenger RNA". From Rfam's summary of the family: Bacterial tmRNA, also known as 10Sa RNA or SsrA, is named for its dual tRNA and mRNA-like properties. Its role is to liberate the mRNA from a stalled ribosome. Lineage: Bacteria; Pseudomonadati; Bacteroidota; Flavobacteriia; Flavobacteriales. RNAcentral also lists the same sequence under 2 other names. The record is from RNAcentral.